This 107-nucleotide small nuclear RNA is filed under the name Carlito syrichta (Philippine tarsier). Lineage: Eukaryota; Metazoa; Chordata; Mammalia; Primates; Tarsiidae. The record is from RNAcentral.
GUACUUGCUUUGGCAACACAUAUACUAAAACUGGAAUGAUACAGAGAAGAUUAUCAAGGCCCCUGCACCAGGAUGACAUACAAAUUUGUGAAGCGUUUCUUAUUUUU